AUAUUAACAUAUGAACACACAUUUACCUUAAAGAAAUGUUAACAUGUAUUUUUGUGGAAAUGAAAAAAAACUUAACAACAGUGGACUCGUUUUUAGUAGUAUUGAAGUGAUAAAAAUAAAUGACAUAAAAAUAGAGAAUAAGAAAAUAGCAGAAAAUGACAGUCUUUUUGAUUAUUUAAGCUACUUUAAUAAAAAUAAAUGUUUAUUAAAAUUAAAAAAGAUACUAAAUAAAAUUGUUGUUAAUAGUCAAAUGAUUUUAACAACUUUUGCUGAUGAUGAUAAUGAAUUAUUAAAUAGUGAACAUUUAUAUAAAAAGCUUUUAAAAAAUAAAACUAGUUAUUUAUUUAAAAACGUUUAUUUAUCUUCUUUUUUUACAGACAAUUAUAUUAAUAACAUUCUUAAAAAACAUAAACAAAUUUUAAUUACUUAUAAUUGUAAAUAUGACAAUAAAAUUUAUAUUAAUAAUCGUUACGCAUAUUUCUCUAUUAAUGACGUGACCAAACUAGGGUUCAUCACUCAUAAAAAUAUAUAUAAGGAUAAAUAUGCAUUAAAUAAUAUUAUAGUUAUUGAAAUAUGUGAUUUGAAAAAAAAAAAAUUAAAAAAAAAAUAUCUUACUACAGGUGAUGAGGCUGGAGGAGUAUAUGUAUAUUCGUCAAGAGCAAAUAAAAAAAAAAUUAACAAAUAUAAAUCAAAUGGAAAUAGUACAAAUGAUUAUGCAGAGAAUAUAAAUAAUAAUAAUCAGAAAAAAGAUAAAGAGGAGACAAAAAAAGUGAUAGAAACGGGAAAAAAAGACGAAGCAAAAGAAAAAAAAAUAAGUAUAAGUAAUGAUGCUAAUUGUAAAACUUAUAGUAGCCGUAGUAAUAUUACUGUAAGUAAAAUGCGUAAAAAAUAUGAAAAUUUUUUUAACGAUGUUUAUACAUAUCCAGUAGAUUUAUUAGCCAGUUUUGAAAAUAUAAAAUGUCAUAAAACGUUUGGACAAAAGUUAAAACAAAUUUUAAAUAGUAAAACUGAUACGAGACAAAAUGAUGGUUCUAACACAAAACAUAGUAGUAAUAAUAAUAGUAGUAUUUAUAAUUGCGAUGACUUUAAUGAAAAGACAAAUGCUGAGGUUUAUAUUGUUAAUUUAAAAUGUUAUGAAUGUUUUUAUAAAAUGAAACAAGAUAACAAUGAUAAUGUUGUAACAAAUAAUUUAUUUUCUUUUAACAAAUAUGAUAAUGUUUAUAGAAAUGUAUGUUCGUAUAAUAAUACUUCCGACAGGAAUAAUGGUAAUAACAUUAUUAGUGACCCAAAUAAUGAUUCAUCAUUACUAGAAAAAUUAGGUGCAACAGAUGUAGCCGAUAUAUAUAAAAUUGUAUAUGGUAGUUUAGAAACAAAUAAUAAUAUGUCACAUUUUUUAAAUAACAGUAAUACAAACAAUGUUAUAAAUAGUUCUGGUGUUAAUGGUAACGGUCAGAGAGCUAUACUUCCCCAUAAUAUGGCAAGCAUAAAUAACGUAUAUGCUUUAAACACUACACUAGGACAAAGUAAUAAAAAUGAAUCAAGUUUAAAUAGUUACAAGAAUAUGAACAUGAUUGUUAAUAAUAUGAUGCCCAGUAGAAAAAGAAAAAAAGAAAUUUAUUAUGAACUGAAUGUACCAUAUAUCUUUCAGGAGUUUUUGUCUUAUUUCCAUGAAAGAGAUAAUGACGAAAAAAGAGAAGAGCUAAAUGAAAAGGAAGAAAGUGAUAAUAAUAAAAAUGAUAUAGUAGAUAUAUACGACUUGAAAAAACAGGAUAAACGAAAAAGCGAAAAAAGCGAAAAAAGCGAAAAAAGCGAAAAAAGCGAAAAAAACGAAAACCACAGACAGACUGGACAAAUUAAAUUAAAUGAACAAAAUACACGAGUCAUGCCAGAAAAAACAAGCUUAAUUAAACAGAAAGGACAGAAAGGACAAAAAGUAUCAAAAAAUAAAAUAUUUUACGCUAAUGAUAAAAAAUUUUACCUAAACUAUAGUUCCUCUAGUAGUAAUAAUGACAUAAAUUUAUCUAUUAUUAAUAAUUUUAAAAAAAAAUAUAUAAAUAAUAGUGAUAAGCAACAAAAUAUAAAAAAUAGCGAAGACACUAAUAUAUCUAAUGAUUUUAAUAGCUAUAAAAACACAGAUACGUAUUAUACACAAAAAGAUGAAUAUAUAAUGAGAAUAUCAAAAAAGGACUCAUAUAAUGACGCAAAUAAGAGUCCAUAUAAGGACGCAAAUAAGAGCCCAUAUAAGAACGCAAAUACUAUUCCCAUUGGAACGCGGAACCCAAUAUCCAACAUAAGUAAUACAAAUUUGAACAAGUUGCAACAUACAUGCUUAACAAAAAAUAAUUAUAACGAUAAUACAUUUAUUAGUGUCGAUACAAAUAACAAAAUAAAUAAAACGAUUACCUUUUUAAAAAAAAAUAACCUUAUAAUUGAUGAUGCUUUUUUAGAUAAAAACAUGUAUACACUUAUUUGGGACUACAUUUCGAAAAAAAAAGGGAUUUUAAAAAAAAACAAAAAAAGUGAAAACAGAAAAAUGAAUGAGAACUUGAAAAAUGAGAAAAGCGAAAAUUUUCAAAAUUUUAUAGAUUAUUUAAUAGAAUAUAUCGGAAGAAUAAAUUUAGACAUAAAAUUAAAUGAAAAAUGUAAUUAUAAUUUUUUUUUAAAAACCCAAAAGUAUUACUAUGAAAUACAAAAAAUUAUAUUAAAUAACGGUUUAAUUUCCUCAUCUAAUGUGCAUAUUAUUGUUAACUAUAUUAUAGACAAACUGGUGAAUGCGACUAAUAAAAAUUUAAACAAGUUAAGUUAUGUUAUUUCAAUGUAUGGGCAAGAUUAUAAUUUUAUAAAUAAUAAUAAAUAUUCACAAGAAACUUCCAGUCAGACUGCUACUCAUAUUUUUUUUUUUUACUGUUAUAAAAAUGUUUAUAUAAUGACAUUGAGCACGGUCAACAGGGUUAUGUGAGCUUGUACUAGCAUGUAUGACUUUACUAGUGUGUGUGUGUGACCUAACUAACGUAUUUUCAAAAGACAUAAAUUCAUGCAUAUAUUUGAUCAUGAGUGCUGCUACGUACAUGUGUACGAAUGUGUAUAUAUAUAUAUAUAUAUAUAUAUAAUACAUAUUAUUUUUUGUCAUUAUUAAUUCAUAAUAAUUUAAAAUUUCUUUUUGUUUUUAAG
Long non-coding RNA from Piliocolobus tephrosceles (Ugandan red Colobus), 3171 nucleotides. The record is from Ensembl. NCBI's taxonomy places the organism in Eukaryota, Metazoa, Chordata, Mammalia, Primates, Cercopithecidae.